This is a long non-coding RNA of Gossypium arboreum, 403 nucleotides long. RefSeq lists it as uncharacterized. Lineage: Eukaryota; Viridiplantae; Streptophyta; Magnoliopsida; Malvales; Malvaceae. The record is from RefSeq and is a predicted model, not a curated record. The transcript is spliced from 2 exons.
GUUGCUUAGAGAUUUAUACGACUUAGAUCCUAUCGCGCGUGUCAAAGUAAGUAGAAAUACUCAUGGUUAGCCUGUUGGAUCUGAAGCUCGACUUUUAGUAGGCUAUUUGGGAAUUUUAGCACGAAAUGCCAAUAUGUUGCCCAUUAACUACGAAUCAUGGCAUCACAUGCCUGAUAGCAACAAAAAUCAAGCUCUCGCUAAAAUUAAGGAGAGGUUUUCUUUAGAGGUCUCCGAUGAUUAUAUCAAGAAGGCAUUGGGUAAAAAAUAGAGAGACAAUAAAAGCACUUUAAAAAAAUAAUAUUUUAAGAAAGACAUAAGUCCGCCGGGAAUGCUGAAGUACCAAUGAGAAAAUGCGGUUAGAUUCUAAAAUUCAAAGAAAUGAGAGGUAUUACGUAUUUCCAAA